Molecule: transfer RNA, 75 nt
Filed under: Bostrychia tenella
Lineage: Eukaryota; Rhodophyta; Florideophyceae; Ceramiales; Rhodomelaceae
Also listed under: 1 other name
Description: tRNA-Pro
Rfam family: tRNA
About the family: Transfer RNA (tRNA) molecules are approximately 80 nucleotides in length. Their secondary structure includes four short double-helical elements and three loops (D, anti-codon, and T loops). Further hydrogen bonds mediate the characteristic L-shaped molecular structure. tRNAs have two regions of fundamental functional importance: the anti-codon, which is responsible for specific mRNA codon recognition, and the 3' end, to which the tRNAs corresponding amino acid is attached (by aminoacyl-tRNA synthetases). tRNAs cope with the degeneracy of the genetic code in two manners: having more than one tRNA (with a specific anti-codon) for a particular amino acid; and 'wobble' base-pairing, i.e. permitting non-standard base-pairing at the 3rd anti-codon position.
Source: RNAcentral
CGGGAUAUAGCGCAGCUUGGUAGCGCGCCUGCUUUGGGAGCAGGAUGUCGCAGGUUCAAAUCCUGCUAUCCCGAC